AUUGGUUGGUCAGGCAUUAAGGCAUUUUUCUGUUAAUGACCUAUGCAAGGUUCGUUGUAUCGGUACCGGACGGUGUGCCAGUAUCGGUGCUGGUGUCAGACCGGUAUGGUACCGGUAUCAUACCGUACCGACAUACGGUACGUCUAGGCGUAUCGGUCCGAUAUCGGUAUACAAUAUUUUUUUCAAUUUUCAUUUUUUUUUAGAUUUUUGAAGUUAAUAAUUGAUAAAUACAACCUCAAUAUGGCAUUAUAUUGCAUAUUAUUGACAUAUUUGGGUUCAAUUUGGAGUUAGGUUGCGGUGCAAAGACUUUUGAUCCAAAAUUUUAAACAUAUAUUUAUUUAUUUUCUUCUAUUUUUAUUUUAUCUCAUUUUUAUCCUAUUUUUAACAACAAAAAUAAAAAAAAUAUUUACUAACAAAAUAACAGAUUAUCUUACCUCCGGCCAAAGAUCAGCCUCUUCUCAAAUCACUCCAAUUUCACGAAAUUUUUGCCUUCUUUUCUAAUUUUUUGGAGGUCUCAACGAUUAAGUUGCCCACGGCCAUGGGUAUUUUCUGAGAACUCUCAAAGAACACCGAAGGCCUGGUGCUUUAAUAAGCACCAGGCCCUCCCCCCAUGUGAAGUGGGCUUAAUAAGCACCAAGCCCUCCCCCCCAUGUGAAGUGGGCCACGCCCAUUUCUCUCCCCUCUCCCCCCAACCACGUGAAAAGGCCCCCACCUUCCCCCCUCCCCCCUCCCCCAUGUGAACUCUUGGAUGGUACGGUUUGGUUCAUUCCGAACCAACGGCGAACCGAGAUAUACCGCCUAGUUCUGGGGCGGUAUGGGCUCGAAUCGCAUCGAACCGGGUGGUUCGGUGCGGUUCGGGGUCGUUUUUCGAAAAACAGGCCCAAAUCGGACCGAUAAGGGAUCGGUCCGGCUCGGUACGCCCCGUACCGGGCCGAACGGUCCGGUACGGCAAACCAUAGUUCGGCCCGGUACGGCAAACCAUGGACCUAUGUUUAUUCAUACUUUCGAGGUUGUCUAUAUAGGCUGCUGCCUUUGCCUUGCUUGAGAGAUGGUAAUACACUAUUCUAGGAAUAUUUUACAAUAUGGAAUCAUCUAGACAUCUAGAGGGUUGUUUGUUGUUUCAACCGAUAUGUUGGUUGUUAUGCUAGAUGUUUGGAUGGAUGCAUGAUGUGUCAUCUAAAAUUCAUCUGAACUUUGAUCAUCUUAAUCAGAUAGUUGUUUUUCACCCUAAGCCA
This 1235-nucleotide long non-coding RNA is filed under the name Elaeis guineensis (African oil palm). RNAcentral's name for it is "long non-coding RNA (EGUI_LNC016174)". The record is from RNAcentral. Lineage: Eukaryota; Viridiplantae; Streptophyta; Magnoliopsida; Arecales; Arecaceae.